ACACCCGUGAAAACGCCCUCACCCCCACUUAGGGAAAAGGAGCUGAUAUCAGGCUCAACAUUUGCCCAAGACAUCUAGCUACGCCACACCCACAAGGGUCCUCAGCAGUGAUUAACAUUAAAAAUAAACGUCAGUUUGAUUUAGUUAAUGAGUACAGAGCCGGCCAAUCUGGUGCCAGCCGCCGCGGUUACACCACGUGGCUCUAUUGAUUUUACACGGCGUAAAGCGUGAUUAAAGAAAAUUAUCAUUCACUGAGGUUAAACUCAAAUUAAGCCGUGACACGCUUGUUCUGAGGAAACUCGAUCUCGAAAGAUACCCCAGCCCACCAACUUGAAUUCACGACAAUUGGAACACAAACUGGGAUUAGAUACCCCACUAUGUCCAAUUAUAAACUUUUACUUACACCUUAUCGCCAGGGAACUACGAGCAAAGCUUAAAACCCAAAGGACUUGACGGUUCUCCACAUCCCUCUAGAGGAGCCUGUCCUAUAAUCGAUUCCCCCCGUUCAACCUCACCAUUUUUAGUUUUCCAGCUUGUAUACUUCCGUCGCCAGUUAACCGCGUGAGCGCAAUAGUAAACUCAAUGUCACAACCAGUACGUCAGGUCAAAGUGCAGCAAAUAAAAUGGCAAGAGAUGGGCUACACUUUCUACAAUAGAAGAUACGAAAGACUAUGUGAAACCUCAGUCAGAAGGUGGAUUUAGCAGUAAGGAUAAAGUAGAGUACUAUCCUUAACCUGGCACUGGAGUGCGUACACACCGCCCGUCACUCUCUUCAACACAUUUAAUCUAGUACAUAACAACUAAUUUCAAAAUAGAAGAGACAAGUCGUAAC
RNAcentral lists this non-coding RNA (832 nucleotides) under Pristimantis orphnolaimus. RNAcentral describes it as "partial small subunit ribosomal RNA". It matches the Rfam family "Bacterial small subunit ribosomal RNA", at positions 318 to 1492 of the family's 1533-position model. The record is from RNAcentral. Lineage: Eukaryota; Metazoa; Chordata; Amphibia; Anura; Strabomantidae.